Molecule: ribosomal RNA, 253 nt
Filed under: uncultured bacterium
Lineage: Bacteria
Description: partial 16S ribosomal RNA
Rfam family: Bacterial small subunit ribosomal RNA
Source: RNAcentral
UACGUAGGGGGCUAGCGUUGCUCGGAAUCACUGGGCGUAAAGGGCGCGUAGGCGGCGUUUUAAGUUGGGGGUGAAAGCCUGUGGCUCAACCACAGAAUUGCCUUCGAUACUGGGACGCUUGAGUGUGGUAGAGGUUGGUGGAACUGCGAGUGUAGAGGUGAAAUUCGUAGAUAUUCGCAAGAACACCGGUGGCGAAGGCGGCCAACUGGACCAUCACUGACGCUGAGGCGCGAAAGCGUGGGGAGCAAACAGG